GAGAAGCUUGCUUCUCUGAUGUUAGCGGCGGACGGGUGAGUAACACGUGGAUAACCUACCUAUAAGACUGGGAUAACUUCGGGAAACCGGAGCUAAUACCGGAUAAUAUUUUGAACCGCAUGGUUCAAAAGUGAAAGACGGUCUUGCUGUCACUUAUAGAUGGAUCCGCGCUGCAUUAGCUAGUUGGUAAGGUAACGGCUUACCAAGGCAACGAUGCAUAGCCGACCUGAGAGGGUGAUCGGCCACACUGGAACUGAGACACGGUCCAGACUCCUACGGGAGGCAGCAGUAGGGAAUCUUCCGCAAUGGGCGAAAGCCUGACGGAGCAACGCCGCGUGAGUGAUGAAGGUCUUCGGAUCGUAAAACUCUGUUAUUAGGGAAGAACAUAUGUGUAAGUAACUGUGCACAUCUUGACGGUACCUAAUCAGAAAGCCACGGCUAACUACGUGCCAGCAGCCGCGGUAAUACGUAGGUGGCAAGCGUUAUCCGGAAUUAUUGGGCGUAAAGCGCGCGUAGGCGGUUUUUUAAGUCUGAUGUGAAAGCCCACGGCUCAACCGUGGAGGGUCAUUGGAAACUGGAAAACUUGAGUGCAGAAGAGGAAAGUGGAAUUCCAUGUGUAGCGGUGAAAUGCGCAGAGAUAUGGAGGAACACCAGUGGCGAAGGCGACUUUCUGGUCUGUAACUGACGCUGAUGUGCGAAAGCGUGGGGAUCAAACAGGAUUAGAUACCCUGGUAGUCCACGCCGUAAACGAUGAGUGCUAAGUGUUAGGGGGUUUCCGCCCCUUAGUGCUGCAGCUAACGCAUUAAGCACUCCGCCUGGGGAGUACGACCGCAAGGUUGAAACUCAAAGGAAUUGACGGGGACCCG
This 866-nucleotide ribosomal RNA is filed under the name Staphylococcus aureus. RNAcentral's name for it is "bacterial SSU rRNA". It matches the Rfam family "Bacterial small subunit ribosomal RNA", at positions 73 to 923 of the family's 1533-position model. Lineage: Bacteria; Bacillati; Bacillota; Bacilli; Caryophanales; Staphylococcaceae. The record is from RNAcentral.